AACGUAGGUUCCGAGCGUUAUCCGGAAUUACUGGGCGUAAAGGGCUCGUAGGCGGCCAACUAAGUCGGACGUGAAAUCCCUCGGCUUAACCGGGGAACUGCUUCCGAUACUGGAUGGCUUGAGUGUGGGAGAGGGAUGCGGAAUUCCAGGUGUAGCGGUGAAAUGCGUAGAUAUCUGGAGGAACACCGGUGACGAAGGCGGCAUCCUGGACCAUUACUGACGCUGAGUGAGCGAAAGCCAGGGGAGCAAACGGG
Molecule: ribosomal RNA, 254 nt
Filed under: uncultured bacterium
Lineage: Bacteria
Description: partial 16S ribosomal RNA
Rfam family: Bacterial small subunit ribosomal RNA
Source: RNAcentral